Molecule: non-coding RNA, 144 nt
Organism: Gossypium raimondii (Peruvian cotton)
Lineage: Eukaryota; Viridiplantae; Streptophyta; Magnoliopsida; Malvales; Malvaceae
Source: Rfam
UGUUAAAAAUUUCAUCCAUUUGUAUCGUUAAAAACUAAUGUGGUUGAUAAAAUAAACAAAUAGUGACAUGUGACGUGUCAUGUGUACUUUAUGCUGACAUAUAUAGUCAAUUUUUAACAGUAAAAAUAGAUAAAACUUUUAAUA